UGCAUAUCAAAAAGCGGAGGAAAAGAAACCAACUGGGAUUGCCUUAGUAACGGCGAGUGAAGCGGCAAAAGCUCAAAUUUGAAAUCUGGUACCUUUGGUGCCCGAGUUGUAAUUUGGAGAGUACCACUUUGGGACUGUACUUUGCCUAUGUUCCUUGGAACAGGACGUCAUGGAGGGUGAGAAUCCCGUGUGGCGAGGGUGUCAGUUCUUUGUAAAGGGUGCUCGAAGAGUCGAGUUGUUUGGGAAUGCAGCUCUAAGUGGGUGGUAAAUUCCAUCUAAAGCUAAAUACAGGCGAGAGACCGAUAGCGAACAAGUACAGUGAUGGAAAGAUGAAAAGAACUUUGAAAAGAGAGUGAAAAAGUACGUGAAAUUGUUGAAAGGGAAGGGCAUUUGAUCAGACAUGGUGUUUUGCGCCCCUUGCCUCUCGUGGGCUUGGGACUCUCGCAGCUCACUGGGCCAGCAUCGGUUUUGGCGGCCGGAAAAAACCUAGGGAAUGUGGCUCUGCGCCUCGGUGUAGAGUGUUAUAGCCCUGGGGAAUACGGCCAGCCGGGACCGAGGACUGCGAUACUUGUUAUCUAGGAUGCUGGCAUAAUGGUUAUAUGCCGCCCGUCUUGACCC
RNAcentral lists this ribosomal RNA (618 nucleotides) under Nakaseomyces glabratus. RNAcentral's name for it is "eukaryotic LSU rRNA". It matches the Rfam family "Eukaryotic large subunit ribosomal RNA", at positions 37 to 660 of the family's 3401-position model. The record is from RNAcentral. Lineage: Eukaryota; Fungi; Ascomycota; Saccharomycetes; Saccharomycetales; Saccharomycetaceae.